This 341-nucleotide ribosomal RNA is filed under the name uncultured Nitrosomonas sp. Its description in RNAcentral is "bacterial SSU rRNA". It matches the Rfam family "Bacterial small subunit ribosomal RNA", at positions 8 to 352 of the family's 1533-position model. The record is from RNAcentral. Lineage: Bacteria; Pseudomonadati; Pseudomonadota; Betaproteobacteria; Nitrosomonadales; Nitrosomonadaceae.
AGAGUUUGAUUCUGGCUCAGAUUGAACGCUGGCGGCAUGCUUUACACAUGCAAGUCGAACGGCAGCGGGGGCUUUGGCCUGCCGGCGAGUGGCGAACGGGUGAGUAAUACAUCGGAACGUGUCCUUGAGUGGGGAAUAACGCAUCGAAAGAUGUGCUAAUACCGCAUAUUUYUCAGGAAGAAAGCAGGGGGUSGAAAGACCUUGCGCUAAAGGAGCGGCCGAUGUCUGAUUAGYUAGUUGGUGAGGUAAGGGCUUACCAAGGCAACGAUCAGUAGSUGGUCUGAGAGGACGAUCAGCCACMCUGGGACUGAGACACGGCCCAGACUCCUACGGGAGGCAGC